ACGGAGGGGGCUAGCGUUGUUCGGAAUUACUGGGCGUAAAGCGCACGUAGGCGGACCUGCAAGUUGGGGGUGAAAUCCCGAGGCUCAACCUCGGAACUGCCUUCAAAACUGCUGGUCUUGAGUUCGAGAGAGGUGAGUGGAAUUCCGAGUGUAGAGGUGAAAUUCGUAGAUAUUCGGAGGAACACCAGUGGCGAAGGCGGCUCACUGGCUCGAUACUGACGCUGAGGUGCGAAAGCGUGGGGAGCAAACAG
Molecule: ribosomal RNA, 251 nt
Filed under: uncultured prokaryote
Description: partial 16S ribosomal RNA
Rfam family: Bacterial small subunit ribosomal RNA
Source: RNAcentral